Phytophthora infestans T30-4 is the source of this 73-nucleotide transfer RNA. It matches the Rfam family "tRNA". From Rfam's summary of the family: Transfer RNA (tRNA) molecules are approximately 80 nucleotides in length. Their secondary structure includes four short double-helical elements and three loops (D, anti-codon, and T loops). NCBI's taxonomy places the organism in Eukaryota, Oomycota, Peronosporomycetes, Peronosporales, Peronosporaceae. The record is from Rfam.
UCUCCUAUAGCUCAGUUGGUAGAGCGUGCGGCUGUUAACCUCAAAGUCGCUGGUUCAAACCCAGCUGGGAGAG